GAAAGGGACAAGCACAAGAAGAAAAAGGAGAUGAUGAAAGUACCUGACUCGAUCCUUUGAAAUUAACAAUGAAGAAGAAACCUUCUUCUCUGAUUUCUCUCUGUAUUCUUCAACUCUCUCACCAACUUCUCCAUAAAGAUGAUGAAGUUUCAGAUGAUAUAUAUCAUCUUCCUUCCCAUUUACUUCAUUCCUUAAUUACAUCUUUGCCCCCACUCGCUCUGCGCAGCUUCCAUCACCACCUCCCAUUUGAGGAUCACAAUGCUGAGGAUUUUUCUCAUACAAAUAAGAGAAAACGUGGCAGGGAUUGGAAUCUAAACACUGCUUGGCAGAGGUUGUUUAAGUUACGGUGGCACGAUAUCGUCGAUAAAAUCCAACCACAAAAUUGGCAACAAGCAUAUUGGGAAACCCAUUUGCAAAAUUGUUUUGAUGAGGCAGCAGAGAUAGCACUAGUCCCAUCUUUUAAUGGAAAUAUUAGUGAGAUACAAAUGUCAGAUAGUAUAUUGAAUUAUAUUGGUUUUACGGGACAUACAAAUCAUUCGACUUGUGACCAUUCAAAACUUUUUUACCAUUGCCAACAAUUUGGCAGCCAUGCAAGGUAAGACUAAGAUGUUAGUGUUAUUGUGUGUCAUAAUUUAUAUGAAGAUGAUCAGUUAGGAUUACUUUUAAAUAUGAAAGAAAGGAUAGAGCAAUGGGUUUCGUUCGUGUUUAUGAAUAAAAAAACUUUAUGUUUUGUUACUAUUAGUGAAGCUCAAUGGUUGAAUAGUUAACUCAAUCUUACUUAGUUUAUUAGUUUCGGAUCUAGCUGACCAGUUAAGCUGUACUUAUUGUAGUUUAAAGUUUAAUGUUGGCCAUUGCCUACCAUGAUAAUUCAUCAUCAAUAAUUUUAUAAAUUAUGUCUGUGCUGUUAAAUAUGUUGUGCAUCAGUGCAAUUUUGCCUUGACCAAUUCUUUCACCUAUCACUUCGUCUUGAUGCAGCUGUCUGAGACUGCAAAAUGUUUUAUGUGCUGCAGAAACUAGUGAUUUGUUAAGGGAGUGCAAGCUGCAGGGCUUGGUGCUAAAUUGGAUCCG
RNAcentral lists this long non-coding RNA (1068 nucleotides) under Lupinus mutabilis. RNAcentral's name for it is "partial ncRNA". The record is from RNAcentral. Lineage: Eukaryota; Viridiplantae; Streptophyta; Magnoliopsida; Fabales; Fabaceae.